AAAUGAAUAGACGGGGGCCCGCACAAGCGGUGGAGCAUGUGGUUUAAUUCGAAGCAACGCGAAGAACCUUACCAGGUCUUGACAUCUUUUGAUCACCUGAGAGAUCAGGUUUCCCCUUCGGGGGCAAAAUGACAGGUGGUGCAUGGUUGUCGUCAGCUCGUGUCGUGAGAUGUUGGGUUAAGUCCCGCAACGAGCGCAACCCUUAUGACUAGUUGCCAGCAUUUAGUUGGGCACUCUAGUAAGACUGCCGGUGACAAACCGGAGGAAGGUGGGGAUGACGUCAAAUCAUCAUGCCCCUUAUGACCUGGGCUACACACGUGCUACAAUGGAUGGUACAACGAGUUGCGAGACCGCGAGGUCAAGCUAAUCUCUUAAAGCCAUUCUCAGUUCGGACUGUAGGCUGCAACUCGCCUACACGAAGUCGGAAUCGCUAGUAAUCGCGGAUCAGCACGCCGCGGUGAAUACGUUCCCGGGCCUUGUACACACCGCCCGU
RNAcentral lists this ribosomal RNA (493 nucleotides) under uncultured bacterium. RNAcentral's name for it is "bacterial SSU rRNA". It matches the Rfam family "Bacterial small subunit ribosomal RNA", at positions 903 to 1397 of the family's 1533-position model. The record is from RNAcentral.